UGGGGAAUUUUGGACAAUGGGGGAAACCCUGAUCCAGCCAUCCCGCGUGUGCGAUGAAGGCCUUCGGGUUGUAAAGCACUUUUGGCAGGAAAGAAACGUCAUGGGUUAAUACCCCGUGAAACUGACGGUACCUGCAGAAUAAGCACCGGCUAACUACGUGCCAGCAGCCGCGGUAAUACGUAGGGUGCAAGCGUUAAUCGGAAUUACUGGGCGUAAAGCGUGCGCAGGCGGUUCGGAAAGAAAGAUGUGAAAUCCCAGAGCUCAACUUUGGAACUGCAUUUUUAACUAUCGGGCUAGAGUGUGUCAGAGGGAGGUGGAAUUCCGCGUGUAGCAGUGAAAUGCGUAGAUAUGCGGAGGAACACCGAUGGCGAAGGCAGCCUCCUGGGAUAACACUGACGCUCAUGCACGAAAGCGUGGGGAGCAAACAGG
This 429-nucleotide ribosomal RNA is filed under the name Acidobacteriota bacterium. RNAcentral describes it as "Acidobacteria bacterium partial 16S ribosomal RNA". It matches the Rfam family "Bacterial small subunit ribosomal RNA", at positions 355 to 776 of the family's 1533-position model. Lineage: Bacteria; Pseudomonadati; Acidobacteriota. The record is from RNAcentral.